RNAcentral lists this ribosomal RNA (637 nucleotides) under uncultured Bacillota bacterium. RNAcentral's name for it is "bacterial SSU rRNA". It matches the Rfam family "Bacterial small subunit ribosomal RNA", at positions 8 to 619 of the family's 1533-position model. Lineage: Bacteria; Bacillati; Bacillota. The record is from RNAcentral.
AGAGUUUGAUCCUGGCUCAGGACGAACGCUGGCGGCGUGCCUAAUACAUGCAAGUCGAGCGGAGUUGAUGAGGUGCUUGCACCUCUGAUGCUUAGCGGCGGACGGGUGAGUAACACGUAGGUAACCUGCCUGUAAGACUGGGAUAACAUUCGGAAACGAAUGCUAAUACCAGAUACGCGAUUUUCUCGCAUGGGAGAAUCGGGAAAGACGGAGCAAUCUGUCACUUACAGAUGGACCUGCGGCGCAUUAGCUAGUUGGUGGGGUAACGGCUCACCGAGGCGACGAUGCGUAGCCGACCUGAGAGGGUGAUCGGCCACACUGGGACUGAGACACGGCCCAGACUCCUACGGGAGGCAGCAGUAGGGAAUCUUCCGCAAUGGACGAAAGUCUGACGGAGCAACGCCGCGUGAGUGAUGAAGGCUUUCGGGUCGUAAAGCUCUGUUGCCAGGGAAGAACACUUGGGAGAGUAACUGCUCUCAAGGUGACGGUACCUGAGAAGAAAGCGCCGGCUAACUACGUGCCAGCAGCCGCGGUAAUACGUAGGGGGGCAAGCGUUAUCCGGAAUAAUUGGGCGUAAAGCGCGCGCAGGGUGGCUUUGUAAGGUCUGUCGUUUAAGGUGCGGGGGCUCAACCCCGUA